AUCAAGUCCCAGCUUGAGGAACCAUCUUGCUCAGAUUCAUGAAGAUAGGAGGUCAUUUUCCAAAGGCUUGAUUGAAAAAGAAGAUGAACUGGCCACAUGGCAAAGAUUUCCUGAUGGGUACUUGGAGGACCAAAAGUCAAAUUGAAUCUUUCAUCUCAUCAACAUACCUGCAAGUAGCGAAUCACCCGACAGACCAAAUCUGGUGCCAUGAAAUCCCCUGUGAAUCGCCAAAUUAUAUCUGUCAAUAUGUUGAUGAGCCCUGUAAAAGAGUCUGAAGUAAAAACAUAAAAGGACAUCAGAACUGGAAGCCUUGGGAGCUGUGGGGGAGGACUUAAUGGCACUAAGUAAAGAGAAGCUGAGGAAAGGGAAAGGAUGGAAUCUUUUCCUUGGGUUUCUCUGAAGAGAAAGUAGGAUUUGGAACUCUCCAAUCCUGCCCGCAUUGGCUUUUUGGGUAAAAGGCUGAUGGAGAUAUUUUCCUUAAAAGUGACAUAUAGAAAUUUAUACAAAUUUACAAAAUAUUUGCGGCAAAAAUCUUUAUUAUUUUACAACAUGAAAUUUAAAAAUAUGAUGGCAUCUCCUGUGUUUUCACUAUGCAUCCUAUUUAUAUGAUUACAAUCUCCUUGAUGGGAGCUGUCUUUGGUGCUGAACCUGUGAAUCUCAGCAAUUUAGGGGAACGAAUUUUGAUAGUUUCUAAGCCUACUGCAUAGUAUGAAUUGGAAUAUAAGAAUACAAGAUACUGCUGUGGCCCAGCCUGGAGGGACUGGAUGCUUAGCUCUAGGAACACUAAUUCUAAUCAUUCCACUGCUUCCUGCUGUCAUGAGAGUUUCUUCCUGGUGAGAGAAACAUGACUUCAAACUGAAUAGCUGCCUCAACCCCUGUCAGUAGUGCUGGCUUUUUUGAGAUGGCUCACAGUAAAGUGAAUUCAUUCUGGGUCUUUCUACCUCUUUAAAAAAGGGGGCAGGACCUUUCUUCCAGAGGCAAUCCCUUGUCCUCAGAUUUUUUGAGUCAUCUCUAGUUAAUGAUGGCAAUGACACCUUUUGGGUGUGUGAAAUAAACUUACUCACAAAGCCACUUCUCUUAAACCCCCUUCUGAGCUUCCAGGAGGCAAAGAGAGCUGAUUCACUGCAGACUAUGAAAUAUUAAAGAACAAAGAAAGGGAGAGCUAAGCCAGCACAGCGAGAGAAUCAUCUGACUAGAAUAUGGGACACUUAAAUACCCACAUCUCUGGAAGCAGAGGUACGUUCUACUUCUAUUUUUUUAACUGCUUUUUAUUAUUCCUCUUUGAGAGUCAGAAUGGCAUAGUGUAAUGUUUGCCUUGCAACAGUGUAUUCUGAUCUCAAUACUAUGUGUAGGCAGGACACUGACAACAACGAGAGUGUUCAAAGGAGGGACAACCAGCGUGGUGAAGAACCUCGAGGCUAGGCCAUAAAGAGGAUUGGCUGAGGAAAUUAGGAAUGUUAAGAGAAGGAAAGACUUAGAAGGGAUUUAAUAGAGGUAUUAAACCAAGUGAUGGGCAAUCAGUUGGAGAAAGGGCUUAGAUGUGUUCUAUUUUGUCCCAGAGUGUACAACCAGGAGAAAGAGUCAAAAGAAGUCUAAUUCAAACUUGGCAUAAGGAAACAUUUCUUUCAAGAUAAAUGAGCACAAAGUAAAAGGGAUGAUUUCAGAAGCAUUGUAUUUCUAUUCACUUGAGAUCUUCAAGCAAAGCCUGGAUGACUGGAUAGGUUGCAGAAAGGACAUUUGUUUGGUUAUAGAUUAAU
Molecule: long non-coding RNA, 1757 nt
Organism: Monodelphis domestica (gray short-tailed opossum)
Lineage: Eukaryota; Metazoa; Chordata; Mammalia; Didelphimorphia; Didelphidae
Source: RefSeq, a predicted model, not a curated record